CCAUAGCAAGAACAAAGGAAGAAAAGAAGAACACAAACCCUAGGUGGGAAAAUUCAAGGGAAAAGUGUGAAAAUUCAAGUAAUCAGGCAAUCAAAGGUAAAAUUUCUGGAUUUUGACUUGUGAUCUACCUUUCCCAUGCGUUAUUUUGCAUUUUUCAUGGUUGAAUCACAAGAUGUCAUGAAGGAUUCAUGGCUGACCGAAUUUAGAGAGAGAAGAUUUGGUGGUUGUUUUGGUUAGAUUUUAAGAUAUUUUAGUGUUUUUAGUUAGUUAGUGAUGUGAAGCAUGAAAAUCAAACAAGAAAAAUUCAUUUUCUCCCAUAACCCAUCAUUGUUCGAAUUUUUCAAGAGAAAAUGUGAGGAUGAUUUUGCCACAUUUCAAGUUAUUUAAAUUGUGUUUAAUGAUUUGGAGUAUUGGGAGAAAAAUGGAGUUAAUUGGAGUUGAAUUGGACAUAUUGACCAAUUAAUCAAUGAUAGAUUGAAUUAGGCCAAUACCGAUUUAAUUAGGGACCCAUAUGAAUUUGUGUAGAAUAUCGUGUUUAGACGGUAAUCCGAACAAUUUGCAUCCCAUUUCAUACAUUAGUAUAAAGUCUGAAUUGGUUUUAUAACAAUUUAUCACAAUGUAGUAAAUGGCUUAUUGUGUAUUGUGUAUAGGCGGUGAGCCCUCUAACAAGGGUAAAGAUGUUGUGUCAGAGGACUGAGAAUAGGAGUAUUUCAAACUCUUGAUACAGUGAGUAACCUUAAUAUCGUCUUAAUUAUCUAAAAUAUGUUUUAUUUGAUUUUGUGAAUUUUAUGGAAAAUGAAUUAAAUGAUUAAUUUUUUGAUUUUAUAAACCAAAUGUGAUUUAAUGAUAUGAUUUCAUAAAAUUGUUUUGAAAUUGAAUAAUGGCUUUGAAAAUAGAGUAAUUGGAGACCAUUUGAUGUAUUGUGAAUUUAUGGGUCUAAUUGAUUGGCUUAUGACAAUAUUGACAUGAAUGGCUGAUUUGGUAUUUGUGUUGAAAUGUAUAAACUGUUGUUUGCCUUGAUAGGCUAGAUAAUGAAAAAAUUGCCAUGUCAUGCUGUUGAAUUUUUAUUGUAUGGUGGGUUUAGCUUGCUGCAGUGGCCUGGUUCUGAGGACAAGCCUAUUAGAGGGGCACGGAACCUGGUCAUAUUCAUACUUCAGUAUGAGAGGCGCGGAUGGAUAACUUCUGAGGUUAACACUUUAGAGUUUACUUCACGUCAAACCACCACGUGAGUGUGAACUCAGCCAACACCAAGGAACGAUUGUGUUUCCAAAAUAAAAACAUGAUUUAUGCGUACAUAACUAUUUACCAACCUUGGCGGACUCGGUUGGGAUAGCCCUCGAUCAAGGCAUCCUGGAUAACUGGGUAUAAAAAUGAUUUUGGCACGAGCCAAAGUUUUAAGAAAUUCAUAGACCAUGUUGAUUACUAGAUUUAUAUGAAUUGAUUUUAUUUGGUUGAAACAAGUUGAAAGGUGAUGAAUUAUAGUAUGUUAAAUUAUUUUAUCUGUCUCCAUUUACUCGGCUUUAGAUAUUUUAGAUGGUAUUUGUUUAUUCACUGGGAUUAUAUAAUCUCACCACUCUCCUUUCCACCCAUUUCAG
RNAcentral lists this long non-coding RNA (1595 nucleotides) under Theobroma cacao (cacao). RNAcentral describes it as "long non-coding RNA (TCAC_LNC000465)". The record is from RNAcentral. Lineage: Eukaryota; Viridiplantae; Streptophyta; Magnoliopsida; Malvales; Malvaceae.